Molecule: ribosomal RNA, 208 nt
Filed under: Ilyonectria sp.
Lineage: Eukaryota; Fungi; Ascomycota; Sordariomycetes; Hypocreales; Nectriaceae
Description: partial large subunit ribosomal RNA
Source: RNAcentral
AAGCGCUCAUGACCAGACUUGGGCUUGGUUGAUCAUCCAGGGUUCUCCCUGGUGCACUCUUCCAGCCCAGGCCAGCAUCAGUUCGCUGUGGGGGAUAAAGGCUUUGGGAAUGUGGCUCCUCCGGGAGUGUUAUAACCCAGGGUAUAAUACCCCUAAGGAGACCGAGGUUCGCGCUCUGCAAGGAUGCUGGCGUAAUGGUCAUCAGCGA